AACACUGUUAACCUGCGGUACCUGCGGAGGGAUCAUUAUUGAAUAAACUUGGUCAAGCUGUUGCUGGUCCUUCGGGACAUGUGCACGCUUGCCACCAAUUUUAACCACCUGUGCACUUUUUGUAGACUUGGAAACGUUUCUCGUGGCAACUCGGAUUGAGAACUGCUGGCGCAAGUCGGCUUUUCUUAUGUUUUCUCAGUCUAUGUUUUCAUAUACACCUAAUGUAUGUAUCAGAAUGUA
This 240-nucleotide unclassified non-coding RNA is filed under the name soil metagenome. RNAcentral describes it as "partial contains 5.8S ribosomal RNA, internal transcribed spacer 2, and large subunit ribosomal RNA". The record is from RNAcentral.